CCUACGGGAGGCUGCAGUGGGGAAUAUUGCACAAUGGGGGAAACCCUGAUGCAGCGACGCCGCGUGAGUGAAGAAGUAUUUCGGUAUGUAAAGCUCUAUCAGCAGGGAAGAGAAUGACGGUACCUGAGUAAGAAGCCCCGGCUAACUACGUGCCAGCAGCCGCGGUAAUACGUAGGGGGCAAGCGUUAUCCGGAUUUACUGGGUGUAAAGGGAGCGUAGAUGGCGAAGAAAGUCUGAAGUGAAAGCCCGUGGCUGAACCGCGGAACUGCUUUGGAAACUUUUUUGCUGGAGUACCGGAGAGGUAAGCGGAAUUCCUAGUGUAGCGGUGAAAUGCGUAGAUAGUAGGAGGAACUCCAGUGGCGAAGGCGGCUUACUGGAGGGUAACUGACGUUGAGGCUCGAAAGCGUGGGGAGCAAACAGGAUUAGAUACCCCUGUAGUC
RNAcentral lists this ribosomal RNA (440 nucleotides) under uncultured bacterium. Its description in RNAcentral is "partial 16S ribosomal RNA". It matches the Rfam family "Bacterial small subunit ribosomal RNA", at positions 338 to 795 of the family's 1533-position model. The record is from RNAcentral.